Molecule: ribosomal RNA, 392 nt
Filed under: uncultured bacterium
Lineage: Bacteria
Description: partial 16S ribosomal RNA
Rfam family: Bacterial small subunit ribosomal RNA
Source: RNAcentral
ACACGUAGGGGCCUGACGUUGUUCGGAAUCAUUGGGCGUAAAGGGCGCGCAGGCGGCCGUCCGAGUCCGGUGUUAAAUGGUCGGGCUCAACCCGAUCAUGCGCUGGAAACUGGGCGGCUUGAGUCCCGUAGGGGAUGCCGGAAUUCCAGGUGUAGGGGUGAAAUCUGUAGAUAUCUGGAAGAACACCGAUGGCGAAGGCAGGCAUCUGGCCGGAGACUGACGCUGAGGCGCGAAGGCGCGGGGAGCGAACAGGUUUAGAUACCCUGGUAGUCCGCGCAGUAAACGAUGCGCACCAGGUGUCGGGCGGCAGCGCCCGGUACCGGAGCUAACGCGAUGAGUGCGCCGCCUGGGGAGUAUGCCCGCAAGGGUGAAACUCAAAGGAAUUGACGGGG